Molecule: microRNA precursor, 86 nt
Filed under: Zostera marina
Lineage: Eukaryota; Viridiplantae; Streptophyta; Magnoliopsida; Alismatales; Zosteraceae
Description: mir-160 microRNA precursor family
Rfam family: mir-160 microRNA precursor family
About the family: The hairpin precursors (represented here) are predicted based on base pairing and cross-species conservation -- their extents are not known. In this case the mature sequence is excised from the 5' arm of the hairpin.
Source: Rfam by way of RNAcentral
UUGUGCCUGGCUCCCUGCAUGCCACACACAGUUCGUCUCAUGGUGAGAUUUCUUAUUGUGGGUGGCGUGUUAGGAGCCAAGCAUAC